UGGCUCGAAGGGCAGCAUUUUGACACAUCCAAUAUACCUGUCCCUUGUUAAUUGAUCGUGUGGAUGAUGCUCUGCCUUUUUCCACCAGCUCUACCCUCUUUAUAUAGCUAGCACAUCCAAUAUAUGUUGCAUUAGCAGAUAUGCAAAUUAUUGCUCAAUGAGCCUAAUCCUUAGAUUGUGCUGCAUGUGGAAUUGUUUUUUUUUUGCAUCUUUCUUAAUCAUUGUUAUAUUCAACCUGGUUGAACCAACCAAUCUUCUAACGUAAAUUGUAAAAAUUUCAGGUUAGAUGCUUGUAUCUGAAGAGUACCAUGGGAAAAUCGUACCGUGUCUUUUAAGUGGCCGUUUUUAGUUUCCAGUGAAUUUAUGAUUGCACCUCAUAUAUUUAAUAUCUUAUUAGCUAGACAAGAAUUUUAAUGUUAACAGUUUUGUUGGAUUCAGUUUUGGAUAUGUUUGUGGUGCUAUUAUUGACCUAUCAUUGUUUACUUUCAACAACUCCUUGUUCUUCGUCGCUGAUCUUGAAAGCAUUUAUUCUUUAGUGAAUAUUUGCAGAGCCUUUUGCUUUUGUUUAUCUCUAUUGCUCUUGUUGACGUUUAAUUACCAAUCAAGAAUUUCAAUUUCAACUGUUUUUCUUAAAACUCAUUAUUACAAUUGUGUUUGCCUUUUGGCCACAAAAACACAAGCUAGCGAAACAUACUUUACUCACGUGAUUUAUUUUCUCAAGCAACUUCUGAUUAUUAACCAUUCAUUUCAAACUACGGGAAAGUAUUAAACUGUGCGUUUAUGUUUCCCUUACAAACUUUAAAUAUGAGAAAGGAAUUGCAGGUUUGUGAGAAAGAUGCAAAAAAAACAAGGAUUAUUGUUAAUAUAAUAUGUUGCAUUAGCAGAUAUGCAAAUUAUUGCUCAAUGAGCCUAAUCCUUAGAUUGUGCUGCAUGUGGAAUUGUUUUUUUUUUGCAUCUUUCUUAAUCAUUGUUAUAUUCAACCUGGUUGAACCAACCAAUCUUCUAACGUAAAUUGUAAAAAUUUCAGGUUAGAUGCUUGUAUCUGAAGAGUACCAUGGGAAAAUCGUACCGUGUCUUUUAAGUGGCCGUUUUUAGUUUCCAGUGAAUUUAUGAUUGCACCUCAUAUAUUUAAUAUCUUAUUAGCUAGACAAGAAUUUUAAUGUUAACAGUUUUGUUGGAUUCAGUUUUGGAUAUGUUUGUGGUGCUAUUAUUGACCUAUCAUUGUUUACUUUCAACAACUCCUUGUUCUUCGUCGCUGAUCUUGAAAGCAUUUAUUCUUUAGUGAAUAUUUGCAGAGCCUUUUGCUUUUGUUUAUCUCUAUUGCUCUUGUUGACGUUUAAUUACCAAUCAAGAAUUUCAAUUUCAAC
This 1367-nucleotide long non-coding RNA is filed under the name Lupinus angustifolius (narrow-leaved blue lupine). RNAcentral describes it as "long non-coding RNA (LANG_LNC001140)". Lineage: Eukaryota; Viridiplantae; Streptophyta; Magnoliopsida; Fabales; Fabaceae. The record is from RNAcentral.